RNAcentral lists this ribosomal RNA (253 nucleotides) under uncultured Legionella sp. RNAcentral's name for it is "partial 16S ribosomal RNA". It matches the Rfam family "Bacterial small subunit ribosomal RNA", at positions 524 to 776 of the family's 1533-position model. Lineage: Bacteria; Pseudomonadati; Pseudomonadota; Gammaproteobacteria; Legionellales; Legionellaceae. The record is from RNAcentral.
UACGGAGGGUGCGAGCGUUAAUCGGAAUUACUGGGCGUAAAGGGUGCGUAGGUGGUUAAUUAAGUUAUCUGUGAAAUUCCUGGGCUCAACCUGGGCAGGUCAGAUAAGACUGGUUAACUCGAGUAUGGGAGAGGGUAGUGGAAUUUCCGGUGUAGCGGUGAAAUGCGUAGAGAUCGGAAGGAACACCAGUGGCGAAGGUGGCUACCUGGCCUGAUACUGACACUGAGGCACGAAAGCGUGGGGAGCAAACAGG